Molecule: non-coding RNA, 82 nt
Organism: Pelobates cultripes (western spadefoot toad)
Lineage: Eukaryota; Metazoa; Chordata; Amphibia; Anura; Pelobatidae
Source: the annotation of a GenBank genome assembly
UUGAACACACCAUGUAAACAUUCACAGUGCAGGUGGAAUACUUUUUCCACCUGCACUGUGAAUGUUUACAUGGUGUGUUCAA